Molecule: unclassified non-coding RNA, 301 nt
Filed under: uncultured Dothideomycetes
Lineage: Eukaryota; Fungi; Ascomycota; Dothideomycetes
Description: sequence contains ITS1
Rfam family: 5.8S ribosomal RNA (bases 1-105)
Source: RNAcentral
GAAAUGCGAUAAGUAGUGUGAAUUGCAGAAUUCAGUGAAUCAUCGAAUCUUUGAACGCACAUUGCGCCCCUCGGUAUUCCGUGGGGCAUGCCUGUUCGAGCGUCAUUUAAACCCUCAAGCACUGCUUGGUGUUGGGCACCUGUCGCGCACCUUUGCGCCGACUUGCCCCAAAUGCAUUGGCAGCUACCCCUGCCGGCCUCUAGCGCAGCACCAUGCGUGUCAAGGCUCGGCCCGCGGCGGCAUCCACCGCUCAAAACCUUAAUUUGACCUCGGAUCAGGUAGGGAUACCCGCUGAACUUAA